CCACAUCGGGACUGAGACNCGGCCCGAACUCCUACGGGAGGCAGCAGUAGGGAAUUUUUCACAAUGGGCGAAAGCCUGAUGGAGCAAUGCCGCGUGACUGAAGACGGUCUUCGGAUUGUAAAGGUCUGUUGUAAGGGAAGAACAGUAAGUAUAGGAAAUGAUACUUAUUUGACGGUACCUUAUCAGAAAGCCACGGCUAACUAUGUGCCAGCAGCCGCGGUAAUACAUAGGUGGCAAGCGUUAUCCGGAUUUAUUGGGCGUAAAGCGUGCGCAGACGGUUUAACAAGUUUAGGGUCAAAUCCUGGAGCUCAACUCCAGUUCGCCUUGAAAACUGUUAAGCUAGAGUGUAAGAGAGGUCGAUGGAAUUCCAUGUGUAGCGGUGAAAUGCGUAGAUAUAUGGAGGAACACCAGUGGCGAAGGCGGUCGACUGGCCUAUCACUGACGUUUAGGCACGAAAGCGUAGGGAGCAAAUAGGAUUAGAUACCCUAGUAGUCUACGCCGUAAACGAUGAGUACUAAGUGUCGGACUAAGUUCGGUGCUGCAGCUAACGCAUUAAGUACUCCGCCUGAGUAGUAUGCUCGCAAGAGUGAAACUCAAAGGAAUUGACGGGGACCCGCACAAGCGGUGGAGCAUGUGGUUUAAUUCGAAGCAACGCGAAGAACCUUACCAAGGCUUGACAUCCAGUGCAAAGCUGUAGAAAUACAGUGGAGGUUAACAUUGAGACAGGUGGUGCAUGGUUGUCGUCAGCUCGUGCCGUGAGGUGUUUGGUUAAGUCCAGUAACGAGCGCAACCCUUGCCGUUAGUUACUCUAUUAAGUUGAGAUACUCUAACGGGACUGCUAGUGUAAGCUAGAGGAAGGUGGGGAUGACGUCAAAUCAGCAUGCCCCUUAUGUCUUGGGCUACACACGUGCUACAAUGGUUGGUACAAACAGUUGCGAUCUCGUAAGAGGGAGCUAAUCUGAAAAAGCCGAUCUCAGUUCGGAUUGAGGGCUGCAACUCGCCCUCAUGAAGCCGGAAUCGCUAGUAAUCGCGAAUCAGCAAUGUCGCGGUGAAUACGUUCUCGGGUCUUGUACACACCGCCCGUC
RNAcentral lists this ribosomal RNA (1085 nucleotides) under Spiroplasma sp. Its description in RNAcentral is "bacterial SSU rRNA". It matches the Rfam family "Bacterial small subunit ribosomal RNA", at positions 308 to 1398 of the family's 1533-position model. Lineage: Bacteria; Bacillati; Mycoplasmatota; Mollicutes; Entomoplasmatales; Spiroplasmataceae. The record is from RNAcentral.